Molecule: ribosomal RNA, 2415 nt
Filed under: Triticum aestivum (bread wheat)
Lineage: Eukaryota; Viridiplantae; Streptophyta; Magnoliopsida; Poales; Poaceae
Description: partial small subunit ribosomal RNA
Source: RNAcentral
AUGAGCUUCGGGGGCCUCUUCGACGGCGGCGGCGGAGGCGGCGGCAUGCAGUUCCCUUACGCCGGCGCCUUCUCGUCCUCGCCCGCGCUCUCCCUCGGGCUGGACAACGCCGGCGGCCGAGACGGCGGCAUAGGCGGGCGGAUGUUUGCUGACGGCGCGGGCGGCGCGAUGGCCAGGGACGCGGAGGCGCAGAACGACAGCCGGUCAGGGAGCGACCACCUGGACGCCAUCUCCGGCGUCGGCGACGACGACGACGACGCCGAGCCCAGCGGCAGCAACCCCCGCAAGCGGAAGAAGCGCUACCACCGCCACACGCCGCAGCAGAUCCAGGAGCUCGAAGCGCUGUUCAAGGAGUGCCCCCACCCGGACGAGAAGCAGCGCGCAGAGCUCAGCAAGAGACUCUCCCUCGACGCGCGGCAGGUCAAGUUCUGGUUCCAGAACCGCCGCACGCAGAUGAAGACGCAACUGGAGCGGCACGAGAACGCGCUGCUGAAGCAGGAGAAUGAAAAGCUGCGCACGGAGAACCUGACCAUCAGGGAGGCCAUGCGCACCCCAAUGUGCGGCGGCUGCGGCAGCCCGGCCAUGCUUGGGGAGGUCUCCCUGGAGGAACAGCACCUGCGCAUGGAGAAUGCACGGCUCAAGGACGAACUCAACCGUGUCUGCACCCUCGCCACCAAGUUCCUCGGCAAGCCCGUGUCCCUUCUGUCGCCACUCCAGCUGCAGCCACACCUGUCGAUGCCCCUGCCGAACUCGUCACUGGAGCUAGCAGUCGGGGGAAUCGGUGGCAUAGGGUCUAUGCAGCCUUCGAUGCACGGUAUGAUGAGUGAGUAUGCCGGGGGUGCCUCAAGCUCGAUGGGCACCGUGAUCACACCAGCACGGGCAACUGGGUCUGCUUUAGCAUCGAUGGUGGACAUUGACAGGUCUGUGUUCUUGGAGCUUGCAAUCAGUGCAAUGGAUGAACUUGUCAAGAUGGCACAGACCGAUGAUCCUUUGUGGGUUACGGGAUUGCCUGGUUUUCCGGACAAGGAGUCACUCAACUUUGAGGAGUAUCUCCACUCCUCCCAGCAUUGCAUUGGCAUGAAGCCUGCCGGAUUUGUGUCUGAGGCCUCUAGGGAGUCCGGCCUGGUCAUCAUCGACAAUAGUGUUGCCCUUGUAGAGACCCUUAUGGACGAGAGGCGGUGGUCCGACAUGUUCUCAUGUAUGAUUGCUAAGGCCACAAUCCUUGAGGAGGUGUCUAACGGCAUUGGUGGAAGCAGAAAUGGAGCAUUGCUGCUAAUGAAGGCUGAGCUACAGGUGCUCUCACCUCUGGUACCCAUAAGGGAGGUUAUUUUUCUCAGGUUUUGCAAGCAGCUGGCUGAGGGUGCCUGGGCAGUGGUGGAUGUGUCCAUUGAUGGAUUGUUGAGCAAUCAAAAUUCUGCUACCACAUCCGCAGGCGCAAACCUGAAGUGUAGGAGGCUACCUUCCGGCUGUGUGAUGCAAGAUACUCCCAAUGGCUACUGCAAGGUCACAUGGGUUGAGCAUACUGAAUACGAUGAGGCAUCUGUCCAUCAGUUCUACCGACCACUUCUCCGAUCUGGUCUUGCCUUUGGCGCCAGCCGUUGGCUCGCCACUCUGCAGCGCCAGUGUGAAUGCCUGGCCAUCCUCAUGUCCUCUGCUACAGUGUCACCUAAUGAACCAACAGCUAUAUCGCAAGAGGGUAAGCGUAGCAUGCUGAAGCUCGCACGCAGGAUGACGGAGAACUUCUGUGCGGGGGUGAGCGCAUCAUCUGCGCGUGAAUGGAGUAAGCUGGAUGGUGCAACAGGUAGCAUCGGUGAGGAUGUGCGUGUCAUGGCACGAAAGAGCGUGAGCGAGCCUGGGGAGCCACCAGGGGUGGUGCUGAGUGCCGCCACAUCUGUAUGGGUGCCUAUUGCCCCUGAGAAGUUGUUCGACUUUCUGCGUGAUGAACAGCUGCGUGCCGAGUGGGACAUCCUCAGUAAUGGAGGGCCCAUGCAGGAGAUGGCUCGAAUUGCAAAGGGGCAUCAGAAUGGAAAUUCGGUAUCCCUCCUCAGAGCCAGUGCCAUGAGUGCCAACCAGAGCAGCAUGCUGAUCCUUCAGGAAACAUGCACUGAUGCAUCCGGGUCGAUUGUUGUAUACGCUCCUGUGGACAUCCCUGCAAUGCAGCUCGUCAUGAACGGCGGGGACUCCACCUAUGUUGCUCUGCUGCCAUCUGGAUUUGCCAUUCUGCCCGAUGGUCCUAGCAUCGGCAGCGAGCACAAGACCGGCGGCUCUCUGCUGACCGUGGCAUUCCAGAUUCUUGUGAACAGCCAGCCCACCGCCAAGCUCACCGUGGAAUCGGUCGAGACCGUGAACAAUCUUAUCUCCUGCACUAUCAAGAAGAUCAAGACGGCGCUGCAAUGUGCAACGCCUGAGUGUUAG